CAACAAUAAGAAUGAAUGCA
Molecule: unclassified non-coding RNA, 20 nt
Filed under: Dictyostelium discoideum
Lineage: Eukaryota; Evosea; Eumycetozoa; Dictyosteliales; Dictyosteliaceae
Source: RNAcentral